CUGUCUCAGAUACUUACCUGUAUAUACCUGUGGGAGGAAGAAGAAAAAGGUGUGUCCACCUAGAAUAAUUUGUUUGCUGGAAGUUCUGUUGUUGGCAGAAAAUGGAAGCUACAAACUAGUGUGGUUAUCAGCAGGGAAUGGGAUCAAAGUUUCAGUCCAACAAGUCCAGGCAACUUUCAGCUUGAAGGCCAAGGUGUUACUACUUAGAAUUUAGGGCACAGAAGGCUGGUGUGUGUCGGCAGUGAUAUUUGGGAGAAUGAGUCUGUUUGGGAGACACUUUAGGUCAUACCAGCAGCUGCUGACAUAUGAACCUCGCAGAUGAAGAUGCCAUAGCAUGGCUAUUUCUCGACUGCACUGCUGAAGG
Molecule: long non-coding RNA, 364 nt
Filed under: Homo sapiens (human)
Lineage: Eukaryota; Metazoa; Chordata; Mammalia; Primates; Hominidae
Description: HSALNT0322926
Source: RNAcentral